Molecule: small nuclear RNA, 122 nt
Organism: Pomacea canaliculata
Lineage: Eukaryota; Metazoa; Mollusca; Gastropoda; Architaenioglossa; Ampullariidae
Product: U4atac minor spliceosomal RNA
Exons: 1
Source: RefSeq, a predicted model, not a curated record
ACCGUCUUUAUCUUGGGGUGAGAGCUUGCUCAAGGAUCGUAUGGAGAGAGCAAGACUGCUGACACCAUAGCUAAAGCUAAAUAUCGCAUCAUUCUUCAUAGGAUGGUGCAAUUUUUGACACC